CACUGUCUUGAUUGCAGUGAUAGUUCACUUUAUGUGUCAAACUGGCUAGGACACAGUACCCGGAUAUUUGAUCAAACACUAGUCUAGAUGUUGCUGUGAAAGUACUUUUCGGAUGAGAUUUAACAUUUAAAUAGUACAUUUUGAGUCUUUUUUCAGGAGGUAGAGGAGAAUGCCCAAUGUGACUAGAGUGUGUAUUUGCAGGGAAAGAAGAAGGUGACUUGUUAGGUACAA
This 231-nucleotide long non-coding RNA is filed under the name Homo sapiens (human). RNAcentral's name for it is "non-protein coding lnc-CLDN22-6:1". Lineage: Eukaryota; Metazoa; Chordata; Mammalia; Primates; Hominidae. The record is from RNAcentral.